This 428-nucleotide ribosomal RNA is filed under the name uncultured bacterium. Its description in RNAcentral is "bacterial SSU rRNA". It matches the Rfam family "Bacterial small subunit ribosomal RNA", at positions 356 to 776 of the family's 1533-position model. The record is from RNAcentral.
GAGGCAUAUUGGUCAAUGGGCGCAAGCCUGAUGGAGCAACACCGCGUGAGUGAAGAAGGGUUUCGGCUCGUAAAGCCCUGUUGUUGGAGAAAAACGUGCGUGAGAGUAACUGUUCACGCAGUGACGGUAUCCAACCAGAAAGUCACGGCUUACUACGUGCCAGCCGGCGCGGUAAUACGUAGGUGGCAAGCGUUAUCCGGAUUUAUUGGGCGUAAAGCGAGCGCAGGCGGUUGCUUAGGUCUGAUGUGAAAGCCUUCGGCUUAACCGAAGAAGUGCAUCGGAAACCGGGCGACUUGAGUGCAGAAGAGGACAGUGGAACUCCAUGUGUAGCGGUGGAAUGCGUAGAUAUAUGGAAGAACACCAGUGGCGAAGGCGGCUGUCUGGUCUGCAACUGACGCUGAGGCUCGAAAGCAUGGGUAGCGAACAGG